UUAAAUUGAAGAGUUUGAUCAUGGCUCAGAUUGAACGCUGGCGGCAGGCCUAACACAUGCAAGUCGAACGGUAACAGGAAACAGCUUGCUGUUUCGCUGACGAGUGGCGGACGGGUGAGUAAUGUCUGGGAAACUGCCUGAUGGAGGGGGAUAACUACUGGAAACGGUAGCUAAUACCGCAUAACGUCGCAAGACCAAAGAGGGGGACCUUCGGGCCUCUUGCCAUCGGAUGUGCCCAGAUGGGAUUAGCUAGUAGGUGGGGUAACGGCUCACCUAGGCGACGAUCCCUAGCUGGUCUGAGAGGAUGACCAGCCACACUGGAACUGAGACACGGUCCAGACUCCUACGGGAGGCAGCAGUGGGGAAUAUUGCACAAUGG
This 379-nucleotide ribosomal RNA is filed under the name Escherichia coli. Its description in RNAcentral is "bacterial SSU rRNA". It matches the Rfam family "Bacterial small subunit ribosomal RNA", at positions 1 to 374 of the family's 1533-position model. The record is from RNAcentral. Lineage: Bacteria; Pseudomonadati; Pseudomonadota; Gammaproteobacteria; Enterobacterales; Enterobacteriaceae.